This 497-nucleotide ribosomal RNA is filed under the name uncultured bacterium. RNAcentral's name for it is "partial 16S ribosomal RNA". It matches the Rfam family "Bacterial small subunit ribosomal RNA", at positions 28 to 507 of the family's 1533-position model. The record is from RNAcentral.
GAUGAACGCUGGCGGCGUGCCUAAUACAUGCAAGUCGAGCGAACGGACGAGAAGCUUGCUUCUCUGAUGUUAGCGGCGGACGGGUGAGUAACACGUGGAUAACCUACCUAUAAGACUGGGAUAACUUCGGGAAACCGGAGCUAAUACCGGAUGAUAUUUUUAACCGCAUGGUUCAAAAGUGAAAGACGGUCUUGCUGUCACUUAUAGAUGGAUCCGCGCUGCAUUAGCUAGUUGGUAAGGUAACGGCUUACCAAGGCAACGAUGCAUAGCCGACCUGAGAGGGUGAUCGGCCACACUGGAACUGAGACACGGUCCAGACUCCUACGGGAGGCAGCAGUAGGGAAUCUUCCGCAAUGGGCGAAAGCCUGACGGAGCAACGCCACGUGAGUGAUGAAGGUCUUCGGAUCGUAAAACUCUGUUAUUAGGGAAGAACAUAUGUGUAAGUAACUGUGCACAUCUUGACGGUACCUAAUCAGAAAGCCACGGCUAACUACGUG